This 59-nucleotide non-coding RNA is filed under the name Sus scrofa (pig). Lineage: Eukaryota; Metazoa; Chordata; Mammalia; Artiodactyla; Suidae. The record is from RNAcentral.
AGGAUACGUCGCAGACGUGGUUCAGAUCUGGUGCUGCCAUGGCUGUGGUGUAGUCUAGC